This 255-nucleotide ribosomal RNA is filed under the name uncultured bacterium. RNAcentral's name for it is "partial 16S ribosomal RNA". It matches the Rfam family "Bacterial small subunit ribosomal RNA", at positions 524 to 776 of the family's 1533-position model. The record is from RNAcentral.
GACAUAGGUUGCGAACGUUAUCCGGAAUUAUUGGGCGUAAAGGAUGCGUAGAUGGUUUGAUAAGUUAUCAGUGGCAAAUCGGGGCUCAACCUCGUGGAAGCUGGUAAUACUGUCAUACUUGAGUUCAGGAGAAGUUAACGGAACUCUAUAUGGAGCGGUAAAAUGUGACGAUAUAUAGAAGAACACCAAUAAGGCGAAGGCAGUUAACUAUUCUGUUACUGACAUUGAGGCAUGAAAGCGUGGGGAGCAAAACGG